UGACAAGAUGGAUCACCUACAGGACAACCUUGGAUCCUCAACCAGCCUGAUUAAGCAUUGACACUGCAUUUGUCACCACCAGCUCUGAUGGUUUGGACAUGUAGAAAUGUAUUGCAGGAGAAUAUGCAAACAGCUGCUGUAAGGUGAGCUGAUCGGGACAACUGCCAGCAGGCAGAAGGGAAGGCAUAAUUAAUGGGCACCCUUCAGCAGAGCUCAGAGCAGACCAAACGCCAAUGCAGAAGGCUCAAGAAAGAGGCAAACAGACUAGCCACUGCUCCAGGAUGACUGUGGCUCUUUAUGAGUGAAGAGAAAGGGUGGAGACUGAAGACAGAACUGGGGACAGUGACAGGCUUGGGGAAGAACAGCUGAUUCAGCAGUCCCAAGGGUGACAUCGCAAAAUACAUGGGUGAAGACAACCUAGUGGCCGUGACUUGGAGCACCCUUCCUCACAAUGAAGGCAUUCUGGGCCAGCCUGAAAAACAGCAUGGAAAUAAAUCACCUAAGUACAAGGGACUGGCUUAAAAAUGGUCUAAUGAAAUGUCAAAAGAGUUCUCCUGUGGAGCUUCGGAGAAGUUUCCUUACCCUUUAAAAAAAGAAAAGAAGAAAAGGAAAAGGGACCUCGGUGACAACGCUGUGAACAUCUAUGGAUUCCGCAUUCAAGUACUUUGUCACAACUGUCUCCACAAGUUGGUACAUCUUCUGUACAAGGCAAAGAAAACUCUAAAAACAUACAAAAAGUCAAUGUUAAUAAUGAGACAUUAUUAUUAAACAUCAACAAAGUGCCAUGUUCUUCAGGCUCCCUAAGGAAUGCUAGCACUUUCAGACUAUAAAUUUUUGUAUCCACAUAAUCAUUGGGAAAAAUUAACUUUAAUGAAAAUAAUCCCUAAUAUUUGUGAAGUUUAUGGUUUUUAAAAAGAAAUUUGACACAAGUUACUAUCCUCAAGAAACACAUUUUUAUGGGCUAUCUACUUCAGAAAUAGUUAUCUAAAGAAAUGAGUAAAGACUACAUAAACCAUUCAUGAAUUUUCCUAAUGUAAAAAUUUGUUUUAAAAAACUUGCUCUGAACUACCCCACAAAGACAAAAAGAAAGGUUUAGUCUUUAAAACACCACCUGGCUGACACUUAUAAUCUCAGCACUUUGGGAGGCCGAGACAGGAGGAUUACUUGAGGCCAGGAGUUCGAGGCCAGCCUGGGA
This 1195-nucleotide long non-coding RNA is filed under the name Homo sapiens (human). RNAcentral describes it as "HSALNT0319507". The record is from RNAcentral. Lineage: Eukaryota; Metazoa; Chordata; Mammalia; Primates; Hominidae.